GAAGAUUCUGAAUCUGUAAAAACUACACAUGUCAAUGUUUUACAGCUACGUAAUUCGAAUUGACUUGAUUUUUUCAAGUAAUCCUAGAAAGGGGGAGCAUUCCAUAUAGAAACUGCUGAAACUGCCACAGGUGCUUCUCCGAAAACCUUACAGUUGUGGCAUUGAAUGUUCAGUAUCGCUUCCUUUCUGCACACGAGGCAUACUGUUGAGCCUGAGAAAUGCCAGUGGCCUGACAGCAGCAGACAUUGCACAAACCCAGGGUUUCCAAGAGUGUGCCCAGUUUCUCUUGAACCUCCAGAAUUGUCAUCUGAACCAUUUCUAUAACAAUGGCAUCUUAAAUGGGGGUCAUCAGAAUGUAUUUCCUAAUCAUAUUAGUGUGGGAACAAAUCGAAAGAGAUGCUUGGAAGACUCAGAAGACUUUGGAGUAAAGAAAGCUAGAACUGAAG
RNAcentral lists this long non-coding RNA (446 nucleotides) under Homo sapiens (human). RNAcentral describes it as "non-protein coding lnc-CARS2-4:4". Lineage: Eukaryota; Metazoa; Chordata; Mammalia; Primates; Hominidae. The record is from RNAcentral.